This 71-nucleotide transfer RNA is filed under the name Otis tarda (great bustard). RNAcentral describes it as "tRNA-Lys". It matches the Rfam family "tRNA". From Rfam's summary of the family: Transfer RNA (tRNA) molecules are approximately 80 nucleotides in length. Their secondary structure includes four short double-helical elements and three loops (D, anti-codon, and T loops). Lineage: Eukaryota; Metazoa; Chordata; Aves; Otidiformes; Otididae. The record is from RNAcentral.
CAUUAAGAAGCUAUGUAACAGCACUAGCCUUUUAAGCUAGAAAAAGAGGAUCCCAACUUCCUCCUUAAUGA